CAAUGGAAUGAUGAUAAAGGUUAAAUUCGGAAAUAUUAAUUUAUUCUGUCGACCAAAACUCAGACUACAAUUAUCUGAUCGCUU
This is a small nucleolar RNA of Raphanus sativus (radish), 84 nucleotides long. RefSeq annotates it as small nucleolar RNA Z155. The transcript has a single exon. NCBI's taxonomy places the organism in Eukaryota, Viridiplantae, Streptophyta, Magnoliopsida, Brassicales, Brassicaceae. The record is from RefSeq and is a predicted model, not a curated record.